This 74-nucleotide small RNA is filed under the name Methylobacterium sp. yr668. RNAcentral describes it as "suhB". It matches the Rfam family "Makes More Granules Regulator RNA (mmgR)". Rfam says of the family: SuhB later renamed mmgR (makes more granules regulator) was a putative non-coding RNA found multiple times in the Agrobacterium tumefaciens genome and related alpha-proteobacteria. Other non-coding RNAs uncovered in the same analysis include: speF, ybhL, metA, and serC. The record is from RNAcentral. Lineage: Bacteria; Pseudomonadati; Pseudomonadota; Alphaproteobacteria; Hyphomicrobiales; Methylobacteriaceae.
CACCGCAGCCCCUCUCGGGGCGUUUCCUCCCUAGACUUGGACCGCCCAUUCGUGAGCGGUCUUUUCUGCCCAGG